CUACAACAACUCCAACAACAACUACAAAGAAACCUACACAAUUUGACUGGACCACUACGAAAGCUACCACAACUACCACAACAACAACAACACCAGAAGUUUCAAGUCUGCUUGAAAUAUCAACAUUUCUUUCAUCAUCCGCCACAGUACUUCCUACCACAACCUCAACCACAACAACUACAACAACUCCAACCACAACAUCAACAACAAC
Long non-coding RNA from Protopterus annectens (West African lungfish), 211 nucleotides. RefSeq lists it as uncharacterized. The transcript is spliced from 6 exons. The record is from RefSeq and is a predicted model, not a curated record. NCBI's taxonomy places the organism in Eukaryota, Metazoa, Chordata, Ceratodontiformes, Protopteridae.